Molecule: long non-coding RNA, 744 nt
Organism: Salvia miltiorrhiza (redroot sage)
Lineage: Eukaryota; Viridiplantae; Streptophyta; Magnoliopsida; Lamiales; Lamiaceae
Exons: 3
Source: RefSeq, a predicted model, not a curated record
CUAGAAUGCGAGUUCUUUUAGAAUCUAUGGGGUUUAUUUAACAGUUAAUCAUGACAGAAGCCCAAGUCUUGCGUUAUUCCUGCUGUUGAGGUUGAACAUCUUGGAUGUUCAUUCAAUCCUCAUCCUGAGAGCCAUCAGGAUGCCUUAGCUCGUGCUGUUGCAGAUGAAAUGCAGAAAAUUUACCAACAUGAAUUGGGGCCUCAGCCCAUCCCUUUAGUUGUCCCUGGUGAAGCUAUUGAUGAAUACGUUCGUACUUCAUCCCGAACUGGUCACUUGAAGUGGAAAUGAAUAUUGUCCCUCCAUAUUCAUGUGCUUUCACUUAUUUGCAUAUGAAGUUUUCAUGCACUUCCCUCUUAUAUGCGUCAGAAAUAUUUCCUUGAGGCAGAUGCGGAUGAUGGAACUGAUGAUGAUGAUGAUGAACAAAAUGAAAAUCAGGCCGAUGAUGGAGAUGUGGAUACAGAAAAGAGCUCUUAGAAAACCAAAAGGGUGACUCGGGUAGAAUUUAACCGGAGAGCUAGACGAAAGGAGCAGUUGAGAAUUGAAGCAGAAGCGAAAAAAGUGAAGGGACUUUCAAAAGACAUAGAUGCUCAUCAACCCAUUGUGAAAUCAAGGAUUGCAAAAAAGUUGCAGGGUAAAAGGACGCAGAUGCUCAUCAACCCAUGGAGCAUAGGAUGUAAACAAUAGGACUUGUUUCCUUCUUUCAUUUUCUUUCUUUUUAGGAAGACACUUCGAAUUAUAUGUUUA